Molecule: long non-coding RNA, 296 nt
Organism: Etheostoma cragini (Arkansas darter)
Lineage: Eukaryota; Metazoa; Chordata; Actinopteri; Perciformes; Percidae
Exons: 3
Source: RefSeq, a predicted model, not a curated record
AGGGAUAACGCUUACAGACACCAGUACAACUCUGGACACUAGUAGUGUCACAUCUUCACCAGCAGAUGCCCAUACAGUGACUAUUCACCUGAAAGUUUCUGUUUUACGCCAGAAUGAGGACACUGAAGAUGUGAUUUUUAAGGCUUUAUCCAAUUUUAUUUCCCAGACCCUUCACCAGUUGAACUGUGAGGGAUGCUCAUCGGCCAUCAGACAGAUCAAACCCACCCGAUCAAAAGCCCCCGUUUCAGCCAACGGGAGCACCAGUGUGGCUGUAGCUGUACUGUGACAACAGGCUG